Molecule: ribosomal RNA, 564 nt
Filed under: uncultured bacterium
Lineage: Bacteria
Description: bacterial SSU rRNA
Rfam family: Bacterial small subunit ribosomal RNA
Source: RNAcentral
CCUACGGGAGGCAGCAGUGGGGAAUUUUGUGCAUGGGGCGAAAGCCUUGACGCACCAGCGCCGCGUGCCAGACGAAGGCCUUCGGGUUGUAAACCGCUUUCAGCAGGGAUGAAAUUGACAGUACCUGCAGAAGAAGCCCCGGCUAACUACGUGCCAGCAGCCGCGGUAAUACGUAGGGGGCAAGCGUUAUCCGGAUUUAUUGGGCGUAAAGCGCGCGUAGGCGGCUUGUUAAGCGAGAUGUGAAAACCGGGGGCUUAACCCGCGGCCUGCAUCUCGAACUGGCAGGCUUGAGUCUGGUAGAGGAAAGUGGAAUUCCCAGUGUAGCGGUGAAAUGCGCAGAUAUUGGGAGGAACACCGGUGGCGAAGGCGGCUUUCUGGGCCACGACUGACGCUGAGGCGCGAAAGCUAGGGGAGCGAACAGGAUUAGAUACCCUGGUAGUCCUAGCCGUAAACGAUGGGCACUAGGUGUGGGGGGUCACCAACUCCCUCCGUGCCGCAGCUAACGCAUUAAGUGCCCCGCCUGGGGAGUACGGCCGCAAGGCUAAAACUCAAAGGAAUUGACGG